AUCUUUCUAGUAUUCAAAGUUAGUACAAGUGACUUCCAAUCAUUUAGUCUUGGUUAAAAUCCAAGGAAAGAUA
Molecule: transfer RNA, 73 nt
Filed under: Gymnocorymbus ternetzi (black tetra)
Lineage: Eukaryota; Metazoa; Chordata; Actinopteri; Characiformes; Acestrorhamphidae
Also listed under: 3 other names
Description: tRNA-Gly
Rfam family: tRNA
About the family: Transfer RNA (tRNA) molecules are approximately 80 nucleotides in length.
Source: RNAcentral